This 164-nucleotide ribosomal RNA is filed under the name Lathyrus pannonicus subsp. asphodeloides. RNAcentral describes it as "5.8S ribosomal RNA". It matches the Rfam family "5.8S ribosomal RNA". Rfam says of the family: 5.8S ribosomal RNA (5.8S rRNA) is a component of the large subunit of the eukaryotic ribosome. It is transcribed by RNA polymerase I as part of the 45S precursor that also contains 18S and 28S rRNA. Functionally, it is thought that 5.8S rRNA may be involved in ribosome translocation. The record is from RNAcentral. Lineage: Eukaryota; Viridiplantae; Streptophyta; Magnoliopsida; Fabales; Fabaceae.
AGAAUGACUCUCGGCAACGGAUAUCUAGGCUCUUGCAUCGAUGAAGAACGUAGCGAAAUGCGAUACUUGGUGUGAAUUGCAGAAUCCCGUGAACCAUCGAGUCUUUGAACGCAAGUUGCGCCCGAUGCCAUUAGGUUGAGGGCACGUCUGCGUGGGUGUCACAU